RNAcentral lists this transfer RNA (73 nucleotides) under Aureispira anguillae. It matches the Rfam family "tRNA". From Rfam's summary of the family: Transfer RNA (tRNA) molecules are approximately 80 nucleotides in length. Lineage: Bacteria; Pseudomonadati; Bacteroidota; Saprospiria; Saprospirales; Saprospiraceae. The record is from Rfam by way of RNAcentral.
GGGACAGUAGCUCAAUUGGCUGAGCAUCUCGUUUGCAACGAGAAGGAUGCGGGUUCAAAUCCCGCCUGUUCCA